Molecule: ribosomal RNA, 253 nt
Filed under: uncultured bacterium
Lineage: Bacteria
Description: partial 16S ribosomal RNA
Rfam family: Bacterial small subunit ribosomal RNA
Source: RNAcentral
UACGAGUGCCCCGAGCGUUAUCCGGAAUCAUUGGGCGUAAAGGGCGCGUAGGCGGCUUGAUAAGCGUGCGGUGAAAGCCCGGGGCUCAACCCCGGGUCGGCCGUGCGAACUGUCGAGCUGGAGCACUGUAGAGGCAGGUGGAAUUCCGGGUGUAGCGGUGGAAUGCGUAGAGAUCCGGAAGAACACCGGUGGCGAAGGCGGCCUGCUGGGCAGUGGCUGACGCUGAGGCGCGACAGCGUGGGGAGCAAACAGG